UACGGGGGGGGCAAGCGUUGUUCGGAAUUACUGGGCGUAAAGGGCGUGUAGGCGGCCAACUAAGUCCGACGUGAAAUCCCCAGGCUUAACCUGGGAACUGCGUCGGAUACUGGAUGGCUUGAAUCCGGGAGAGGGAUGUGGAAUUCCAGGUGUAGCGGUGAAAUGCGUAGAUAUCUGGAGGAACACCGGUGGCGAAGGCGGCAUCCUGGACCGGUAUUGACGCUGAGGCGCGAAAGCCAGGGGAGCAAACGGG
This 253-nucleotide ribosomal RNA is filed under the name uncultured bacterium. Its description in RNAcentral is "partial 16S ribosomal RNA". It matches the Rfam family "Bacterial small subunit ribosomal RNA", at positions 524 to 776 of the family's 1533-position model. The record is from RNAcentral.